CAACUGCGAUAAUUAGUGCGAACUGCAGAUAUUUUGAGCACUAAAGUUUCGAAUGCACAUUGCGCCAUUGGAUUUUAUCCUUUGGCACGUCUGUUUCAGGGUCGUAAAUACAAAACCCCAUGCACAUGGUGGUGAAACGACCUGUGUGACCGGAGUCGCAUUGGCUUAGCACUUGUUUCUUGUGUAGUUUUUGGCCAAUUUGACAACGCUCGCACAAAUAAAAACGCUGCUCACUGUUUGGUAGCAUUGCCGCUAAGUCCUAGCGAUUUCUACGGACCCAAAGCAUUGUGGCCGAGUGUUGGAGCAGUCGAUUUUUCGACCUGAACUCAGACGUGAUUACCCGCUGAACUUAA
Molecule: unclassified non-coding RNA, 353 nt
Filed under: uncultured fungus
Lineage: Eukaryota; Fungi
Description: sequence contains ITS1
Rfam family: 5.8S ribosomal RNA (bases 1-104)
Source: RNAcentral